CAGGGCUUGCCAGGGAGGCAACCGCAGGAAGCCAGAGAAACAGGGGAUGAGAGAGUCCAGCUUCACUCGACAGCAGACCCCUCGAAUGUGUCCCUGAGAGGGCAGAGCUACCCUGAAGACUGAAAAGAAUGGAAUCGACAGUGAUGGGCCAAGGAAUGCCAAAGAUCGCCAGAAAAUCACCAAAAGUUAGGAGAGGGGAAGAGAACAGGUCCAUCCUCACAACCCUCAGAAGGAACCGACCCUGCCCAAACCCUGAUCCUGGACUGUCAGCCUCCCGCACUGUGAAACAAUAAGUUUCUGUGGGUUAAGCCCCAAAUAUGUGGCACUUUGUCACCACGGCCAUGGGAAACAAAUACAAGCACCCAGGAAAUGCGAAGCACAGGUUUGCCAAGUGUGAUCUGGAUGGAACAGUCUGAAACAGUUGAAAAAUCCCGGCACUGAUCUCUCUGCCUCUGAAUAAUUUGUUUUUGCUAUUUGUUACCACAUACUAAAGCCCAAACUUUUGAGUUCAUAUCACAUCAGAAAAGUGGCUUGGGUGAGGAAGUAGGCUUAUUUUUCCUCAAAAGGACUCCAGAGAGAAGAAAUAGUGUUGAAUUUUAGUCACCAAUGGCAAACAUAACAAAAAUACCAUCUGGGGUCUAUUUUUUCCAACAUAGAACCUCUGCUACAAAAUUUGACCUUUAUUGGCAUAUUUAGCUUAAAGAUUUUCUUUGGUUCUUAAGGGAGACUGUCACACAGUGGCUUCAGGCUUGGCUGGAUCCAGGUGCUCAAACUGUGUUAGGAAUCUCUCUCUUUCCAUUCUCAGCCCUGCUUCCUUUGUGCUGUCUUCAUUAGCGGUCAGUCUGUCCCUGCUGUAGGCUCACCCAAGCUUAGCAACUCUGAGAGAAGUCCUGGGAUUAAGUCUCAUUGCUUGUUGUUGAACUGUGGGCAAAGAGAUGGAAGACACUGAUUGAUCAGUCUUGGUCACAUGCCCAAUUCUAAAGUUGGCCCUUCUCAAACCACAUGGACGGGAAUGAGACAACGAUUCCCCAAAGGAAAAUCAGAAGAAAGAUGUGGACAGAAGAGAAAUGGAUGUUGAAGAGGCAGACCCAGCAGACAUCAACCACACUGACUCUAAGUGAGUCACUAAGGGUCACCCAAACACAGAGUUCACAAAUUCAAAAUAGAAAGUUACUGUAGUUUAUUGAGCACUCUAACUUGGUAGUCCACCUAGAAGUCUGGCUGCCAAAUACCUCACAGCAUUACACACACACAUACACCAAUAGUAGGGAUUUCCAUAACUUCCUGAAGGAACCUUUGAUCUUUGUGUUAUCUUGAGUUGGCCAUUUUUAACUGCUGUUCUUUUUACUAAUCUAAUGAUAAAUUACUGCGGGUUUAGCUUGUUAAUAUCAAUUCAAUCUGUUGUGGGCUGUUUGGCAAAUCCUGCAGUGUUAAUAACACUCAUUUGCAUCAGCAGUAUUUUGGGUCUGUAAUUUUUCAAUAAGUAGACUUUAAGUCAUGCACGCAUUGAGUGAAAAUAGAAAUCAUCUGUAC
Molecule: long non-coding RNA, 1533 nt
Filed under: Equus caballus (horse)
Lineage: Eukaryota; Metazoa; Chordata; Mammalia; Perissodactyla; Equidae
Description: lncRNA (ENSECAG00000045078.1)
Source: RNAcentral